Long non-coding RNA from Stegostoma tigrinum, 681 nucleotides. RefSeq lists it as uncharacterized. The transcript is spliced from 3 exons. NCBI's taxonomy places the organism in Eukaryota, Metazoa, Chordata, Chondrichthyes, Orectolobiformes, Stegostomatidae. The record is from RefSeq and is a predicted model, not a curated record.
GAUUGCCGGUUUUGUCGGAGCUUUUAAAGGAACAAAGAAUAAGCACUUGGGGAAACAGUGAAGGGGUUAGUGUGGUCUGGGAGACUUUAUCACCGCUUGUGUACAACUGUAGAUCCGAAUUAGAACUUCUUGGUCAUGCGUUUUCAGUAAACUGAAAAGGACUGCAGGUUUCAGGCCGCGAGAGGCCCAGGUUACCGCCAAAAUAUUUAUUGGCCCCAAAGCCCCGCGUGUUUCGGACAGAAUGGUCCCUGCUUUGCACUGGGAACCUGGGGGUUGGAAGCGUUUUCUUUCUCAAUGAACUACCACAGUAAAUCUGUACUCCGCAACUUAAAGGGCCCUCGUAUCUUUUCUGACCAGAAUUGGAUGCACUGAUUGACUGUGACCUCACCAGAUCUUUAUCAAGGUUCAGCAUCUUUUCCGGUCCCAAUGCACUGCCACCGAUGUUGGAAUUUGGGAUCUCGGGGUUUAUGCUCCCAUCCCAGAAUGUGAUUUUUGAAGUCCCGGCGGUCCCUCUGGAUUACCACACCUAGAGCCUGGAUGAAGACUUAGGAAUGUGUGGGUUUGUACGUUUGGGUUGAGUCGGCUGAUGCGCAAAGGUGUGUUUUGGGUUCAUGUAUGGGAUGGCCUUUCGGAGGAAGUACUGGGUGCGGGUACAGUUACCGCAUUUAAAAGGCAGUUGGG